GCGCUCACUUUGGCAGCACACGUACUAAAACUGGAACAAUAUGGAGAAUAUUAGCAUGGCCCUGAACAAGGAUGACACACAAAUUUGUGAAGUGUUCCAUAGUUUU
Small nuclear RNA from Lemur catta (Ring-tailed lemur), 106 nucleotides. The record is from RefSeq and is a predicted model, not a curated record. NCBI's taxonomy places the organism in Eukaryota, Metazoa, Chordata, Mammalia, Primates, Lemuridae.